GAGGCGUUGAGGAGAAGGGAGUGGAAAGGAGGACGCUCUUCUGUCUUCUCUUUCGAGCCCGAAAAUACACAUGCGUUAUAAAGCGCAGGAAGUUUGAAAUCCGUGCUUUAAAAAGGCUGAAGAGGCGCUUUUCUUGUCAAGGGCUUUUCAAGCAGACUGGGACUCAAGUACAACCAACAUGACAUAAAAAUGCCAGCCUCCAGGUGGGACCUGGGAAUCCCUCAGAAUUGCAGCUCAUCUCCAGACUACAGAGAUCAGUUCCUCUGGAGAAAAUGGAUGCUUUGGAGGGUGGACUCUGUGGCAUUGUACCCCACUGAAGUUCCUGUCCUCUGCUUGCUCCAUCCCAAAAUUUCCAGAAGCGGUGGCUUUCUAGAAUUGAUGCCUGCAUCCGUGACAGUCUGAAGAACCAGUAAACUGAAACUUAAUCCAGACAAGGUCAAUGUCCCAUUGUGUCUGGCCUAGUGUCCACAUACAAGUUGAUUGACAGAGGAUGAAUGCAGACUCAUGAGGUACUGCCUCAGAAUGGCUCCACUGGCAAGGCCUAUGUGGCUCAGCAGAAUUCAGAUUCAAGACCCUUGAUAGUAAUUUCUAGAAUAAAGAGAAUGUGAAAAGAUUAGAAAUUAUUGGAGGUAAGUUAUUGUUUGUAAUAGUUCUCAGAGUGUGAGUCAGGCCUCCCUAGCUAUGUGCAGAUGCUGGAUGACAAGGCCCAACUUCUUUAUUCUGCUUUCUAGUAAUUGUAUUGAUUAGACCUGUUGGCAGAGGACUAACAUGUCAUUAUAGUACAUUUGACAUACCUCAUCCAUGUGUUUCUUUGCCAGUGAUGCAACAUCUAUGUUGAGUUCAGAUGUAUUUAGAUAAGAACAGAGUAUUCACAGCAGCAGUCAUGAUCUAAUCUAUGUUAACUUUCCAUCUACAGAGGGAAAUAAAUCUAGCCCUAAAAAGUCUGAACAGGAUAGACUCAGAUUGUUUUGUCAAUUCUACUUCAGAGUUGAGCCUCCUUCUGAAGACUUUAAAAAUAUAUGGUGCACUGAAGUUAGUUGAUAAUGUUCUUUCACUGGUUUCUGGAUGUUGUCAUUUUUUGUUGCUCUAGUCCACAAAAGCUGCUGCUACAAUAAAUCCAUUGAUCUAAGG
Long non-coding RNA from Heteronotia binoei (common prickly gecko), 1131 nucleotides. RefSeq lists it as uncharacterized. Lineage: Eukaryota; Metazoa; Chordata; Lepidosauria; Squamata; Gekkonidae. The record is from RefSeq and is a predicted model, not a curated record. The transcript has 5 exons.